AACGAACGCUGGCGGCAUGCCUAACACAUGCAAGUCGAACGAGACCUUCGGGUCUAGUGGCGCACGGGUGCGUAACGCGUGGGAACCUGCCCUUAGGUUCGGAAUAACUCCCCGAAAGGGGUGCUAAUACCGGAUAAUGUCUUCGGACCAAAGAUUUAUCGCCUUUGGAUGGGCCCGCGUUGGAUUAGCUAGUUGGUAGGGUAAAAGCCUACCAAGGCGACGAUCCAUAGCUGGUCUGAGAGGAUGAUCAGCCACACUGGUACUGAGACACGGCCCAGACUCCUACGGGAGGCAGCAGUGGGGAAUAUUGGACAAUGGGCGAAAGCCUGAUCCAGCAAUGCCGCGUGAGUGAUGAAGGCCUUAGGGUUGUAAAGCUCUUUUACCCGGGAUGAUAAUGACAGUACCGGGAGAAUAAGCUCCGGCUAACUCCGUG
Molecule: ribosomal RNA, 433 nt
Filed under: uncultured bacterium
Lineage: Bacteria
Description: partial 16S ribosomal RNA
Rfam family: Bacterial small subunit ribosomal RNA
Source: RNAcentral